RNAcentral lists this ribosomal RNA (497 nucleotides) under uncultured bacterium. RNAcentral's name for it is "partial 16S ribosomal RNA". It matches the Rfam family "Bacterial small subunit ribosomal RNA", at positions 28 to 507 of the family's 1533-position model. The record is from RNAcentral.
GAUGAACGCUGGCGGCGUGCCUAAUACAUGCAAGUCGAGCGAACGGACGAGAAGCUUGCUUCUCUGAUGUUAGCGGCGGACGGGUGAGUAACACGUGGAUAACCUACCUAUAAGACUGGGAUAACUUCAGGAAACCGGAGCUAAUACCGGAUAAUAUUUUGAACCGCAUGGUUCAAAAGUGAAAGACGGUCUUGCUGUCACUUAUAGAUGGAUCCGCGCUGCAUUAGCUAGUUGGUAAGGUAACGGCUUACCAAGGCAACGAUGCAUAGCCGACCUGAGAGGGUGAUCGGCCACACUGGAACUGAGACACGGUCCAGACUCCUACGGGAGGCAGCAGUAGGGAAUCUUCCGCAAUGGGCGAAAGCCUGACGGAGCAACGCCGCGUGAGUGAUGAAGGUCUUCGUAUCGUAAAACUCUGUUAUUAGGGAAGAACAUAUGUGUAAGUAACUGUGCACAUCUUGACGGUACCUAAUCAGAAAGCCACGGCUAACUACGUG